GGGUAAUGGGGCAGCAGGUAGCCUAGUGGUGGUUAGAGUGUAGAGGAGGCAGGUAGCCUAGUGGUGGUUAGAGUGUAGAGGAGGCAGGUAGCCUAGUGGUGGUUAGAGUGUAGAGGAGGCAGGUAGCCUAGUGGUGGUUAGAGUGUAGAGGAGGCAGGUAGCCUAGUGGUGGUUAGAGUGUAGAGGAGGCAGGUAGCCUAGUGGUGGUUAGAGUGUAGAGGAGGCAGGUAGCCUAGUGGUGGUUAGAGUGUAGAGGAGGCAGGUAGCCUAGUGGCGGUUAGAGUGGAGAGGAGGCAGGUAGCCUAGUGGCGGUUAGAGUGGAGAGGAGGCAGGUAGCCUAGUGGCGGUUAGAGUGGAGAGGAGGCAGGUAGCCUAGUGGCGGUUAGAGUGGAGAGGAGGCAGGUAGCCUAGUGGCGGUUAGAGUGGAGAGGAGGCAGGUAGCCUAGUGGCGGUUAGAGUGUAGAGGAGGCAGGUAGCCUAGUGGCGGUUAGAGUGUAGAGGAGGCAGGUAGCCUAGUGGCGGUUAGAGUGUAGAGGAGGCAGGUAGCCUAGUGGCGGUUAGAGUGUAGAGGAGGCAGGUAGCCUAGUGGCGGUUAGAGUGUAGAGGAGGCAGGUAGCCUAGUGGCGGUUAGAGUGUAGAGGAGGCAGGUAGCCUAGUGGCGGUUAGAGUGGGGAGGAGGCAGGUAGCCUAGUGGCGGUUAGAGUGGAGAGGAGGCAGGUAGCCUAGUGGUUAGAGUGUAGAGGUGGCAGGGUAGCCUAGUGGUUAGAGUGUAGCGGUGGCAGGUAGCCUAGUGGUUAGAGUGUAGAGGGGCAGGUAGCCUAGUGGUUAGAGUGUGGAGGAGGCAGGUAGCCUAGUGGUUAGAGUGUAGCGGUGGCAGGUAGCCUAGUGGUUAGAGUGUAGCGGUGGCAGGUAGCCUAGUGGUUAGAGUGUAGGGGGGGGCAGGUAGCCUAGUGGUUAGAGUGUUGGACUAGUAACCGGAAGGUUGCAAGAUAGAAUCCCCAAGCUGACCAGGUACAAAUCUGUCGUUCUGCCCCUGAACAGGCAGUUAACCCACUGUUCCUAGUCCAGUUAACCCACUGUUCCUAGUCCAGUUAACCCACUGUUCCUAGUCCAGUUAACCCA
Molecule: long non-coding RNA, 1122 nt
Organism: Oncorhynchus keta (chum salmon)
Lineage: Eukaryota; Metazoa; Chordata; Actinopteri; Salmoniformes; Salmonidae
Exons: 10
Source: RefSeq, a predicted model, not a curated record